RNAcentral lists this ribosomal RNA (759 nucleotides) under uncultured bacterium. RNAcentral describes it as "bacterial SSU rRNA". It matches the Rfam family "Bacterial small subunit ribosomal RNA", at positions 287 to 1041 of the family's 1533-position model. The record is from RNAcentral.
CCGACCUGAGAGGGUGAUCGGCCACACUGGGACUGAGACACGGCCCAGACUCUUACGGGAGGCAGCAAGUAGGGAAUCUUCCGCAAUGGACGAAAGUCUGACGGAGCAACGCCGCGUGAACGAUUAAGGCUUUCGGGUCGUAAAGUUCUGUUGUUAGGGAAGAACAAGUACCAGAGUAACUGCUGGUACCUUGACGGUACCUAACCAGAAAGCCACGGCUAACUACGUGCCAGCAGCCGCGGUAAUACGUAGGUGGCAAGCGUUAUCCGGAAUUAUUGGGCGUAAAGCGCUCGCAGGCGGUCUUUUAAGUCUGAUGUGAAAGCCCACGGCUCAACCGUGGAGGGUCAUUGGAAACUGGGAGACUUGAGUGCAGAAGAGGAGAGUGGAAUUCCACGUGUAGCGGUGAAAUGCGUAGAGAUGUGGAGGAACACCAGUGGCGAAGGCGACUCUCUGGUCUGUAACUGACGCUGAGGAGCGAAAGCGUGGGGAGCGAACAGGAUUAGAUACCCUGGUAGUCCACGCCGUAAACGAUGAGUGCUAAGUGUUAGAGGGUUUCCGCCCUUUAGUGCUGCAGCUAACGCAUUAAGCACUCCGCCUGGGGAGUACGGUCGCAAGACUGAAACUCAAAGGAAUUGACGGGGGCCCGCACAAGCGGUGGAGCAUGUGGUUUAAUUCGAAGCAACGCGAAGAACCUUACCAGGUCUUGACAUCCUUAUGCCAACCCUAGAGAUAGGGCUUUAAAGGGGGGGACAUAAGUGA